GCCGAAGUGGCGGAAUCGGUAGACGCAGCGGACUCAAAAUCCGCCGCCCUUGAAAGCGUGUGGGUUCGAGUCCCACCUUCGGCACCA
Molecule: transfer RNA, 87 nt
Filed under: Rhodanobacteraceae bacterium
Lineage: Bacteria; Pseudomonadati; Pseudomonadota; Gammaproteobacteria; Lysobacterales; Rhodanobacteraceae
Also listed under: 1 other name
Description: tRNA-Leu
Rfam family: tRNA
About the family: Transfer RNA (tRNA) molecules are approximately 80 nucleotides in length. Their secondary structure includes four short double-helical elements and three loops (D, anti-codon, and T loops).
Source: RNAcentral